This 253-nucleotide ribosomal RNA is filed under the name uncultured bacterium. RNAcentral describes it as "partial 16S ribosomal RNA". It matches the Rfam family "Bacterial small subunit ribosomal RNA", at positions 524 to 776 of the family's 1533-position model. The record is from RNAcentral.
UACGUAGGGGGCAAGCGUUGUCCGGAAUCAUUGGGCGUAAAGAGCGUGUAGGCGGCCCGGUAAGUCCGCUGUGAAAGUCCAGGGCUCAACCCUGGGAUGCCGGUGGAUACUGUCGGGCUCGAGUCCGGAAGAGGCGAGUGGAAUUCCUGGUGUAGCGGUGAAAUGCGCAGAUAUCAGGAGGAACACCAAUGGCGAAGGCGGUUCUCUGGGACGGUACUGACGCUGAGACGCGAAAGCGUGGGGAGCGAACAGG